This 306-nucleotide unclassified non-coding RNA is filed under the name plant metagenome. Its description in RNAcentral is "partial contains 5.8S ribosomal RNA, internal transcribed spacer 2, and large subunit ribosomal RNA". The stretch from base 1 to 105 matches the Rfam family "5.8S ribosomal RNA", at positions 50 to 154 of the family's 154-position model. The record is from RNAcentral.
GAAAUGCGAUAAGUAGUGUGAAUUGCAGAAUUCAGUGAAUCAUCGAAUCUUUGAACGCACAUUGUGCCCCUUGGUAUUCCAUGGGGCAUGCCUGUUCGAGCGUCAUCUACACCCUCAAGCUCUGCUUGGUGUUGGGCGUCUUUGUCCCGCCUCCGCGCGCGGACUCGCCCCAAAUUCAUUGGCAGCGGUCCUUGCCUCCUCUCGCGCAGCACGUUGCGCUUCUCGAGGUGUUGCGGCCCGCGUCCAGAAAGCAAUCGUUACCGUCUUUGACCUCGGAUCAGGUAGGGAUACCCGCUGAACUUAAGC